CACCCGAUCCCAUACCGAACUCGGCCGUGAAAAUCUACAGCGCUGAUGGUACUUUGUCUUAAGGCACGGGAGAGUAAGUCGCUGCCUGGUCU
This 92-nucleotide ribosomal RNA is filed under the name uncultured alpha proteobacterium HF0070_34E11. Lineage: Bacteria; Pseudomonadati; Pseudomonadota; Alphaproteobacteria. The record is from RNAcentral.